This 746-nucleotide ribosomal RNA is filed under the name Aerococcus sp. Z34-SB-E14. RNAcentral describes it as "bacterial SSU rRNA". It matches the Rfam family "Bacterial small subunit ribosomal RNA", at positions 62 to 789 of the family's 1533-position model. The record is from RNAcentral. Lineage: Bacteria; Bacillati; Bacillota; Bacilli; Lactobacillales; Aerococcaceae.
UCGAGCGAACAGGAUGAAGUGCUUGCACUUCUGACGUUAGCGGCGAACGGGUGAGUAACACGUAAGGAAUCUACCUAUAAGCGGGGGAUAACAUUCGGAAACGGGUGCUAAUACCGCAUAAUAUCUUCUUCCGCAUGGAAGAAGAUUGAAAGACGGCUCUGCUGUCACUUAUAGAUGACCUUGCGGUGCAUUAGUUAGUUGGUGGGGUAACGGCCUACCAAGACGAUGAUGCAUAGCCGACCUGAGAGGGUGAUCGGCCACAUUGGGACUGAGACACGGCCCAAACUCCUACGGGAGGCAGCAGUAGGGAAUCUUCCGCAAUGGGCGAAAGCCUGACGGAGCAAUGCCGCGUGAGUGAAGAAGGCCUUCGGGUCGUAAAACUCUGUUAUAAGAGAAGAACAAAUUGUAGAGUAACUGCUACAGUCUUGACGGUAUCUUAUCAGAAAGCCACGGCUAACUACGUGCCAGCAGCCGCGGUAAUACGUAGGUGGCAAGCGUUGUCCGGAUUUAUUGGGCGUAAAGGGAGCGCAGGUGGUUUCUUAAGUCUGAUGUGAAAGCCCACGGCUUAACCGUGGAGGGUCAUUGGAAACUGGGAAACUUGAGUACAGAAGAGGAAUGUGGAACUCCAUGUGUAGCGGUGGAAUGCGUAGAUAUAUGGAAGAACACCAGUGGCGAAGGCGACAUUCUGGUCUGUUACUGACACUGAGGCUCGAAAGCGUGGGGAGCAAACAGGAUUAGAUACCCUG